Molecule: ribosomal RNA, 430 nt
Filed under: uncultured bacterium
Lineage: Bacteria
Description: bacterial SSU rRNA
Rfam family: Bacterial small subunit ribosomal RNA
Source: RNAcentral
GAUGAACGCUAGCGGCAGGCCUAACACAUGCAAGUCGAACGGUAACGCGGGGCAACCUGGCGACGAGUGGCGAACGGGUGAGUAAUGCUUCGGAAUCUGCCCUUCAGUGGGGAAUAACCAGUCGAAAGACUGGCUAAUACCGCAUACGAACUGAGGUUGAAAGCAGGGGAUCGCAAGACCUUGCGCUAUUGGAUGAGCCGAAGUCGGAUUAGCUAGUUGGUAGGGUAACGGCCUACCAAGGCGACGAUCCGUAGCUGGUCUGAGAGGACGACCAGCCACACUGGGACUGAGACACGGCCCAGACUCCUACGGGAGGCAGCAGUGGGGAAUAUUGGACAAUGGGCGAAAGCCUGAUCCAGCGACGCCGCGUGUGUGAAGAAGGCCUGCGGGUUGUAAAGCACUUUUAGUUGGGGAGGAAAUGCUCAGACCU